Molecule: long non-coding RNA, 1208 nt
Filed under: Homo sapiens (human)
Lineage: Eukaryota; Metazoa; Chordata; Mammalia; Primates; Hominidae
Description: HSALNT0308104
Source: RNAcentral
UUAAUAGAAAUGAAAUUUCAAAACUACAAGGCUGGGCUUUUUGAGAAUACUAAUGCAGAGUGGCAUUCGUUUGCAUUAUGACUAUAACAGUAGUAAUUGCAGAGAAAGUGCUAAUUUUUUCAUCAUUGUUUUAAACUUGCUUAUAUAAUAUUGUAUUUUAUAUUACAAAGUGAAACUAUUUCCAAGGUGAUUAACUGAACUACCUGAUCUCUUUGUUCUUUGAAUUCUAUUAGAUAACACUGUUUUUUGUUAUAAUCUGCCUCACUCUGAAACCUUCUACCCUUUAUACUGCUACAACCAGGUGGCAGCCUGUACAGUGAUCUUCCUUUCCCUGAAAAUCCACAGGGGCAACGAGCCCAACUAGCAACAUUCAAUAUCUGGGCUUCACCUUGACCCAGAAAAUGCAAAUCAAACUAUGCUGAAAGCUUCAUACAAAGGAACUGAAAGAUUGAUUCCUACAAGGUACAGCAUGGAAUGUUAUAAUUUCAUACCAGGGUAGAGUUGAACAGUUCUCCCUUCCAGCCAAGGGCAGAAAUGAGGAACCUGCCAGAUCGGAGAGUUCCCAAAUCUAAUCACCAUUUAUGCUAGAAUUCCUUCAGCUGCAAAUAAUGCAGGGUCUCAUCUUAGCAGUGACAAGAUAUCUGCCAGCAGCACCAGGCCUACAUCUUCCCAGCUUUAAAUUCAGUGAAAAGACAGGAUCUCUUUCUAAAGCACUGCAAUAAAAUUUCCAGAAUGAAAACUCAUCAGCUUAAUUGGCCUCUGUUGGUUAUCUGCCCAUUUGUGAACCAAUCACUGUGGUCUGAGAGGUGCAAGGACUCCUCUGAUUGGCCUGGCCUGGGCCAUUUGCCCACUUCCGGCAUCAGAAGGAAGGACAGUUUCAAAAGGCAAACUGGGUGUUGCUACAGGAGAGCAUUCAGGCAAACCACAGCCAAUCUCAGGACUCUCCUUGUUCUGCCUUGUCUUCAAAUCCUCUUGCACAUUUUUCCAGCCUCGGACCCGCUGUGCCUCACCAUGUUCAUCUAGCAUAGGACCCUCAAUACAUUUCUCUGACACAGGGAAAACCCAUUUGGUGUAGUGAAUGACCCUAGAGUCAAACAGCCUGGGUUCUAAUUCUGGCUCUAUCAUUUUAGCAAGCUGUAUAAUCUCUCCGUGCCUCAGUUUCCUCAUCAAAAAAAAAAAGGCAGGUGGGCUGGGAGCAGUGGCUCAUG